GCCACUGAUCAGACUGGUCGCACUAAACGAGGGCUCCGAGCAGAAACUCACAAAAAGCAACAUAUUGCUAACAAAACACGCCAGAACCACUCACUUGAAGCAGCAGAGCAUCGGUGAUACUCGAGACUCAACCAGGUGGAUUUCCGGGCUCGGAGAAGCACACUGAAUCAAACUACGAAUUGUGGCCUACCAGCAGACGCAGGAGCAGGAGAGGCGGACGAUCUCCCUGCGAGCAGCUCUGCAGGAAUGCGCUGAGGCACUUGGGACCCCCAUUUCCCCCCCUGCCAGUGAAGAAUAUCCCGGCACACUCACUUAACAUAUAGGCUCUACUGCAAAGCAACAAGGGGAGUCAGUGAACUCACCUGAUCCUGUUACAUCACAAUAUACCACAGCCAGAGUCAAGAUGGCGAUGAUGGCGCUGACCACGACAACACAAGGCCUACUGGAUAGUUUCGAGCAGUGGCUGGACGUGAUCUUCAGCUACUUUUGGCCGAAGCUGUGGCAAAGAGGGGCGCAGACAGGGAAAGCGGCCACAGACCGACAGGUGGCGACCACCUCCCAGCUGUCUUCCCCACGAGGCUGGCAGAUCUUGGAGCACUGGGUCAACCUGCAGACCAAAGAAGCAGGGGAAGAAGAGAGCACACCUGCAAACUGCGCCCAGUCACGAAGUACCCAUGCCCGCAAUUGCCAUCCAAGGCUGAGAGCCCAAAGGGGGCCAACCCGGGCACAUGACCCACAUUCUCGACAGUAACAACCACGAGCUCAAGCGACGAAAGCACCCCAUCGGGACUAUGCUUACGGUGGUGUGAGAAACCGGAGCAGUGGAGUCCGCAUAAAGGCUCUGGAGACAGCCUGGGGCUGGAGGAGCGGCCUAGCAUGGCCUUUUUGGGAAUUGUUCCCAUACCUGACUCAGAUAGUCAGCAAAGGCAUCGGGUGAAAGCCGGACAGAGUGAUGCAAGACACAAGCUUGGCAAAGUAUAGCGGCUCGCCACCUUACUUCACGGUGAUGCACUUGUUUUCGGUGAUGCUCCUAGCAACCAUUAACUUUAAAGCCUAUGUUGAUGCCUGUUUUUCUUUUAUUUACCUGACUUGCCAUCCUUAUCUUGAAGUAGCCCGUUGUACAGUGAAGCUAGCGUAUUAUUCCUAAUUUUUAACUCCCAUAAUGGGCUACUGCCCUGCAUUCUCAUCAUAUUUAAGCAUGUCCCUUGCAUUCAACCAAUAGCAGUAACCAUCAUGUCCUAUCGGCUAAAUGCCUCUAUACUCUGCCAUAGUUCUAACUAAUAGCUGGAUAUGCAUGAUUUACCACUAUAUUUCACCCCAUAUGUUCCCCACCUCUACUCUGUUCAUGCUAUAGACCAACCUGGACAUGUAUUAAUUCGCCUGAUUAAUUAGCUUGUUUAUAUACUAUAAAAAAAAUGUGCACUGUUUAAAUGCCAAAUCUGUGAACUCUUCUGAUAUCACUGUGCUUGCGUAUGCUGUUGUGGCAAAGUAAACUGUUAUGUUACCUCAUGCACUACAAAAAUAAAAUAUAUUAAAAAAAAACACACAUACACAUACAGACACAGAGCUAAAACACUGAUACACAUACAAUUACACACACACACAGACAUACAGACUGACAUACGCCACCAAUUAAUGGAAAUAUUUACUAAACAGCUUAAAGAUCAACAGUAAAAAAAGCCCUUCUCUUUAUUUUAAUCUUUCAGUUGUGUAGUAGAUAACUUCCUUAUUUGUUAUCCUUACGUGGGAUUGACACAUUUAAGUACACCAAAUAAGGGUGUUAUGUGCUAAACAAUGCCCUAAUUUCGCAUCCUUAAAUAUUGCAAUCCCACA
This 1833-nucleotide long non-coding RNA is filed under the name Pelobates cultripes (western spadefoot toad). Lineage: Eukaryota; Metazoa; Chordata; Amphibia; Anura; Pelobatidae. The record is from RNAcentral.